GGGAUAAGCGUUGGAAACGACGUCUAAUACCGGAUACGACUCUUGGAGGCAUCUCUGGGGGUGGAAAGAAUUUUGGUCAAGGAUGAGCUCGCGGCCUAUCAGCUUGUUGGUGAGGUAAUGGCUCACCAAGGCGACGACGGGUAGCCGGCCUGAGAGGGUGACCGGCCACACUGGGACUGAGACACGGCCCAGACUCCUACGGGAGGCAGCAGUGGGGAAUAUUGCACAAUGGGCGAAAGCCUGAUGCAGCAACGCCGCGUGAGGGACGACGGCCUUCGGGUUGUAAACCUCUUUUAGUAGGGAAGAAGCGUAACAGUGACGGUACCUGCAGAAAAAGCACCGGCUAACUACGUGCCAGCAGCCGCGGUAAUACGUAGGGUGCAAGCGUUGUCCGGAAUUAUUGGGCGUAAAGAGCUCGUAGGCGGUUUGUCGCGUCUGCUGUGAAAACCCGAGGCUCAACCUCGGGCCUGCAGUGG
Molecule: ribosomal RNA, 476 nt
Filed under: uncultured bacterium
Lineage: Bacteria
Description: bacterial SSU rRNA
Rfam family: Bacterial small subunit ribosomal RNA
Source: RNAcentral